This 395-nucleotide unclassified non-coding RNA is filed under the name soil metagenome. RNAcentral's name for it is "partial contains 5.8S ribosomal RNA, internal transcribed spacer 2, and large subunit ribosomal RNA". The stretch from base 1 to 120 matches the Rfam family "5.8S ribosomal RNA", at positions 35 to 154 of the family's 154-position model. The record is from RNAcentral.
GAUGAAGAACGUAGCGAAAUGCGAUAAGUAAUGUGAAUUGCAGAAUUCAGUGAAUCAUCGAAUCUUUGAACGCACCUUGCGCCUUUUGGUAUUCCGAAAGGCACACCUGUUUGAGCGUCAUGAAUACCUCAAUCUCCAUCUUUUCUUCGGAUUGAUGGGUGACUUGGAUGUUGAGCCCUGCUGGUAUGCUAUAUCAGCUGGCUUUAAACUUAUUAGCCGGCUCUGUACUGGAUCGGUUUGACUCGACGUGAUAAUAUUAUCGUUGAGGAUGCAUGGCUCAUGCAGCCGGAAAGUAUCAAAGCAGCUUCUAGCUUGCCUUUAGUGCACUUUUACAUUUUAGACCUCAGAUCAGGUGGGACUACCCGCUGAACUUAAGCAUAUCAAUAAGCGGAGGA